This 119-nucleotide ribosomal RNA is filed under the name Pteropus alecto (black flying fox). The record is from RNAcentral. Lineage: Eukaryota; Metazoa; Chordata; Mammalia; Chiroptera; Pteropodidae.
AUCUACGGCCAUGCCACCCUGAACACACCUGAUCCUUUCUGAUCUCGGAAGCUAAGCAGAGUUGGGCCUGGUUAGUACUUGGAUGGCAGACCACCUAGGAAGACCAGAUGCUGUAGGUG